GGUGGCCUAGUGGUUAGAGCGUCCGCCUCAGACGCGGAAGGUCAUGGAUUCGAUCCCUCAAAAACA
Molecule: non-coding RNA, 66 nt
Organism: Potamilus streckersoni
Lineage: Eukaryota; Metazoa; Mollusca; Bivalvia; Unionida; Unionidae
Source: the annotation of a GenBank genome assembly